Molecule: non-coding RNA, 3031 nt
Organism: Durio zibethinus
Lineage: Eukaryota; Viridiplantae; Streptophyta; Magnoliopsida; Malvales; Malvaceae
Source: RefSeq, a predicted model, not a curated record
UGUAUUGAUUCUUUAUUAUAUUAUUUGAACUCUUAUGAACAAUAUCUACCUAUCUAGAGCAUCAUAGGAAAAAUAGAAUUUUGAUCCCAUAACAUCAAUUUUGAUGUUACCGCAAAAUUUUGAUGUGACUCAACAAUAACAUAACAUCAAUUUGAUAAUUAUUAUAAUGAAAUAUUUAUGUGAUUUAACCAUAAUUGCAAAAUAGUAAAUCAUAAUAUCAAUUUUGCAAAAAUUACUGCAGGACAACCAGAAAAUCUUAGUUCAUAAUAUUUAAAAGAUUUUAUUUAAAAUAUUUCAAUUGAAUAAAUCUAUUUUUUAAUCUGAUUUCUUUUAUGUAUAUAUGAUCUGGCUUCCAUCUUAGAAUAAAUCUAUAUUUCUGAUUUAAUAUCUGAUGUUGUGACUGUACGUUAAGAUUCCAUCGUAACUCCCAUGAAACCAAGCGCAUCGGAUUAAAACUCAAGAAAAGUUUUAACGGUGAGGCCAGUUCUUUCUUCUUCUUUCUCUAAAUAAAAAAAAAAGAAGAAAAAUUGGUUUGAUUUCGUUUUUAGGGUUUACAGACUACGGACAGAGAGAGGGAGAUAUAAUUAUAGGAGGAUAUAUAUAUAUAGAUAUAUACAUACAUAUAUAUAUAUAAUAUAGACGAGAGCCCUAAAAGAAAGAAGAAAAUUUGUGAGAAGGUCGCAAAUGGUUGGGUCAAAUGGCGUUAGGCUUAUUCAAUGCUUGGUUUGGGGUUCCCAUUCCCUUUCUUCCAACCUUGUCCAGCCAAAUUCUAUAUAUAAUACUCUGAUUGCUGGGGGUUUUAGGAGUUUCGCUACCGUACUUGGCAGUCCAGUUAACGUUAUUGGAAAUCACGCUCCCCAAAUUGUGCUUUUGUACCAUUUCUUCCUAAACAGACAGAGAAUCAAGAUACUAUUUGUAUGCUGUGUUGAGUUUUCCCCUCCUUCUCUCCAAGUAUCGAAUUACAUGCUUGCCAAUGCAGCUAGAGCUAGGAACUGCUUGGUUUUGGGACUCUUAAAUGCGAACUUGGGUGCAACUCGGCCAAUUCAUGGCACUGCUACUCUGUCUGCUAGUGAUUAUUACGAUAUACUUGGUGUAAGCAAGAAUGCUACUGCAUCUGAAAUAAAGAAAGCUUAUUUUGGGCUUGCAAAAAAGCUCCAUCCAGAUGUAAAUAAAGAUGAUCCUGAAGCUGAGAAAAAAUUUCAAGAAGUUUCCAAAGCCUAUGAGGUUUUAAAAGAUGAGAACAAGCGUGCAGAGUAUGAUCAGGUUGGCCAUGAAGCAUUUGAGCAGCAGCAAAAUAAUAGAGGCUUUAACGAGGACGAUUUUAAUCCAUUCAAAUUCAGCAACCUUCAAGACAUAUUCAACAUUCAGGAUAUAUUCAAACAUAGAAUUGGCGGCGAAGAUAUUAAGAUUGCGAUUGAAUUGUCAUUUAUGGAAGCUGUUCAGGGAUGCACCAAAACAGUGACAUUUCAAGCUCCAGUGCUUUGUCAAGCUUGUGGUGGAGAAGGUGUUCCUCCUGGUGUGAAACCUGAAAGAUGCCGGUAUUGUGGAGGCUCAGGCAUGGUGUCUAUCAACAAGGGCUUUAUGAGUAUUCGAUCUACUUGUCUGCAUUGUAGUGGAACUGGUCAGUUUGUAACGAAGCUUUGCAAGUCAUGCAAUGGAGCUAGGUUAGUGAAAGGACCAAAAACAGUCAAAUUGGACAUAAUGCCAGGAGUGGAUAACAAUGAGACAUUGAGGGUUUAUGGAAGUGGUGGAGCUGAUCCUGAUAGAAAUCAUCCUGGGGAUCUAUAUGUUACCAUAAAGGUCCGGCAAGACCCUGUUUUUCGUAGAGAAGGUGCCAACAUUCAUGUAGAUGCUGUUUUGAGUGUUAUUCAGGCAAUCUUGGGAGGAACCAUCCAGGUCCCAACUCUUACCGGUGAUGUUGUGCUCAAGGUCUGCCCUGGCACUCAACCUGGCCAGAAGGUAGUUCUGAAGAAUAAAGGGAUUAAAACAAGUAACUCUUACACAGUUGGAGAUCAAUACGUGCACUUCAAUGUCGGCAUCCCAAAGAAUCUGACCCCAAGACAACGUGAAUUAAUUGAAGAGUUUGCUAGAGAAGAGCAAGGUGAAUAUGAUAAGCGUGCUGCUGCCGCUGCAUCCAGCUGAAGACAAGACCAGAAUGACUUUUAAUUUUUGAUAAUCAAUCUAAAGUUAUUCUUGGUAACAGAAAAGAGGAACACAAAGAUAAGAAGAAAUUGGAUUAUUAGUAACAACUCAUGUUUUGGAAGUUUUAUACCAGUAAAUUUUAGAUUGCAUUGAUUUUUAUUUCUUGUAUAAGGUAUUUAAGCUUUUUUUUUUUUUUUACACUCACGGAUGGUAUGGCAUUGAUCCAUCAUUUUGAGCCCAAUGGUGAUGUUUUAUAUAAUUUAUGCAGGUAUUAGUAUAACAUAGUUGCUACAUGAUGCCCCUGCUGGAUUAUGGUCAGAUUUGACUGGUAUACUGAAUUUUUUAAUAGCAUUGAUCUAGGUCUUUGGACAAAACAGUUGAGUCAAUUUCCAUGCUCAUAAAUAUAUGAAGUGGGUUACAAUCUUAGAUCUGAUUUUUUUUAAUAGUUUCUGUUACCUUCCGAUUUCCUAUAAUGCAAGGAGAAACUUGAAAUUUUUGGUUGCGAUAGCAUAAUCCGUUUCCAGCCUUUAGUGGUCUUGGGGAAUGAGAGUUGUAAUUGAUAAGUAUUCGUUUUUUGUAGUAUAGUAUGAAGUAUAGAGUUGUGAGGCAAAAAGAAUUGGUCUCUUGUUGGUAUGUGUUGGCGGCAAAUGCCAUUGCCAAAUACAGGAAUGGUCAACAUCCAGCAAAUUGAUGAUAAAACAGGUAUUUUCAAGAGUGUUUAGAAACUCAAGGAAAGCUAUAUUAUCCAGUGACAGAUUUCUGAUGCUGCAAAAUUGACCAAGACAGGAAGUUUAAGUUGGUUCCUUCGUGGAAAUCAGAUCAAAAGCAGAACUAGCAUAGAGAUGGCAUGAAAGGUAUGAUCUGUGGUUAGGAUAUAGGUACCUAAUGG